Long non-coding RNA from Oryza sativa Japonica Group (Japanese rice), 384 nucleotides. RefSeq lists it as uncharacterized. Lineage: Eukaryota; Viridiplantae; Streptophyta; Magnoliopsida; Poales; Poaceae. The record is from RefSeq and is a predicted model, not a curated record.
CGUCAGUUCAUCUGCCUCAUGUACUGUCAGGUUGUGAUUGCAACCAGUGAAGGACAGCAUGUCUUUCUCAUAUCUGUAAAUCAAUCAACAAAGCAAAAUGGAAGAUUGCUGAUCUGUAAACGGUUUCUUUGCAGGAAAUGAAUCUAUCUACCAGGGUGCGACCGAGCUCCUCUAUCUCCUUCCUAUAUUGAAGUGCUUUGUAAUUUGCACGACAACGGAGACGUUGGAGGGAAGGAGCAAGACCAUUAUUGACUAUACGUGAAUCUGUGAACAAAUGUUUUUGAACACCUACCCUGGACCAGGAGGUAGGUGCUCUCAUAUAGGGUUUCACCCUUUUGUAAGUUGGUGGAAGGGAAUCCACGAUUACAAUAUCUUCCUUUAAUA